UCUCUGGUGGCUCAGAUGGUGAAGCGUCCGCCUGCAAUGCGGGAGACCCGGGUUCGAUUCCUGGGUCGGGAA
This 72-nucleotide transfer RNA is filed under the name Ovis aries (sheep). It matches the Rfam family "tRNA". Rfam says of the family: Transfer RNA (tRNA) molecules are approximately 80 nucleotides in length. Their secondary structure includes four short double-helical elements and three loops (D, anti-codon, and T loops). Further hydrogen bonds mediate the characteristic L-shaped molecular structure. tRNAs have two regions of fundamental functional importance: the anti-codon, which is responsible for specific mRNA codon recognition, and the 3' end, to which the tRNAs corresponding amino acid is attached (by aminoacyl-tRNA synthetases). tRNAs cope with the degeneracy of the genetic code in two manners: having more than one tRNA (with a specific anti-codon) for a particular amino acid; and 'wobble' base-pairing, i.e. permitting non-standard base-pairing at the 3rd anti-codon position. Lineage: Eukaryota; Metazoa; Chordata; Mammalia; Artiodactyla; Bovidae. The record is from Rfam by way of RNAcentral.